GACGGAGGGUGCAAGCGUUGUUCGGAUUGACUGGGCGUAAAGGGCGUGUAGGCGGUCGGCCAAGUCUGAUGUGAAAGCCCGAGGCUCAGCCUCGGAAGUGCGUCGGAAACUAGUCGGCUGGAGCGCGAUAGAGGAGGGUGGAAUUCCUGGUGUAGCGGUGAAAUGCGUAGAUAUCAGGAGGAACACCGGCGGCGAAGGCGGCCCUCUGGAUCGUUGCUGACGCUGAUACGCGAAAGCGUGGGGAGCGAACAGG
Molecule: ribosomal RNA, 253 nt
Filed under: uncultured bacterium
Lineage: Bacteria
Description: partial 16S ribosomal RNA
Rfam family: Bacterial small subunit ribosomal RNA
Source: RNAcentral